GAAUUUUAAGUAUAUUUUUUUUGUAUAACUAAUUGUUGAUUAGUAGGAAUUUGAGUUCU
This 59-nucleotide transfer RNA is filed under the name Dirofilaria sp. 'hongkongensis'. RNAcentral describes it as "tRNA-Asn". RNAcentral also lists the same sequence under 2 other names. Lineage: Eukaryota; Metazoa; Nematoda; Chromadorea; Rhabditida; Onchocercidae. The record is from RNAcentral.